RNAcentral lists this ribosomal RNA (253 nucleotides) under uncultured bacterium. Its description in RNAcentral is "partial 16S ribosomal RNA". It matches the Rfam family "Bacterial small subunit ribosomal RNA", at positions 524 to 776 of the family's 1533-position model. The record is from RNAcentral.
UACGUAGGGGGCUAGCGUUGUCCGGAAUCAUUGGGCGUAAAGCGCGUGUAGGCGGUCCGGUAAGUCCGCUGUGAAAGUCCAAGGCUCAACCUUGGGAUGCCGGUCGAUACUGCCGGACUAGAGUUCGGAAGAGGCGAGUGGAAUUCCCGGUGUAGCGGUGAAAUGCGCAGAUAUCGGGAGGAACACCUAUGGCGAAGGCAGCUCGCUGGGACGUUACUGACGCUGAGACGCGAAAGCGUGGGGAGCAAACAGG